This 175-nucleotide non-coding RNA is filed under the name Flammeovirga sp. SJP92. The record is from RNAcentral. RNAcentral also lists the same sequence under 1 other name. Lineage: Bacteria; Pseudomonadati; Bacteroidota; Cytophagia; Cytophagales; Flammeovirgaceae.
UACAAAUUUGCUGUGCAUGGUGCCUAAGUGGAAUAAUAGGGAAUUCAGUGAAAAUCUGGAACUGUACUCGCAGCUGUAAAUCUUUUUAAUGAAUAUCUGAUAGCCAUUGCUACUAAGCGAGAAGGUAGAUAUCUCAGAGAUAAGUCAGAAGACCUACCAAGCAGUAGUUAUGAAG